UCUCCGUAGGUGAACCUGCGGAAGGAUCAUUAAAGAGUAAGGGUCUUCGGGCCCGAUCUCCAACCCUUUGUUUAACUACCAUGUUGCUUUGGCGGGCCCGUCUCACGACCGCCGGAAGUUUGGCUUCGACCAAACUUCAGGCCCGUGCCCGUCAGUGGCCCCUUCAAAUUCUUGAUCAAGUAUGAUGUCUUAGUUAAAAACUUAAUAGUUAAAACUUUCAACAACGGAUCUCUUGGUUCUG
Molecule: unclassified non-coding RNA, 241 nt
Filed under: plant metagenome
Description: partial contains small subunit ribosomal RNA, internal transcribed spacer 1, and 5.8S ribosomal RNA
Source: RNAcentral